CUCGUUUUUCAUCGUUCGAUUUUACUAUUUACUGCUUGAUUUUAUUACAUCUACAACCCUUUUGCCAGGUGACUGCCACUGGGCCCAUGUAAUUACUGAUCCACGCGGCAGUGAAGCGCUCGAUCGACUGAGUCCGUAGCAAACGACGCUCCCGGUGAAAAAAACCCUAGAUCGAGAGGUAAAAAGAGAUCGCCUCCUCCUCACUCCUCCCACACCCAGCGGCGCCUCCUCCCUCCUCCCACGACCUCCUUCCAUGGCCGCACCUCACUGCCUUGACACCACCUCCUCCCCUUCUCGGCAGCGCCUCCUUCCUCCUCCCAGGACCUCCUUUCAUGGCGGUGCCCCGACCUAACCGAUCUUCCUCGUCUUCAGUCAAGGACCCGAUCGGCUGGAGCAGUUGGAGAGUAGUGACUGAUGCCGGCCAGAGAAGGCAGGGAGCAGCGGACGCCAGAGAGGGAGGCGGCUCGUCGUGGACCGGCCAUGGCGCUGGCGCUGCUGACUCCCACCGGCCUCCUUCGUCUCCCAGCCACAGCCUGCUCCAACCCCUCCCUCUGAUGUGGUGUGGUGGGAGAAGGAAGAAGAGCAGGAAGGCAGGGAGCAGCGGAUGCCAGAGAGGGAGGCGACUCGGCGUGGACCGGCCAUGGCGCUGGCGCUGCUGACUCCCACCGGCCUCCUUCGUCUCCCAAACACAGCCUGCUCCAACCCCUCCUAUGAUGUGGUGUGGUGGGAGAAGGAAGAAGAGCAGGCAUGCUCUCUGUCUACAUCCAGCGCCACACGGCUAGAUCGACGGGUCUAAACUAUGGGUACCAUUCUAUCUCAGAUGUAGUACAUUGUGUGUAUGAAUCAUGGUGAAUGUCAAGCCUACUUAGGUCAUACCCAAGUAAGAAUACAGAAAGAAUAAGCUUAGAAUCUGCUGCGCUGUGCAUGGCUGUUGAAGUUCAGCAUUGCUAUGAUGUGUAUGGUUUCUCUGUUUUCCUCAUAUCGCCCUAUUCCCAAUUUUACAAACUGCUAUGUGACGCACAGUGGCCACGCCACACACUGGUGAGAUUCAAGGUGCAGUCGAGCAAGAGUCAGUUCGAGGUGAGGCGUGUCACGUCGAUCUCCUGCUGCUCACCAGUGAGGCUCGCUGACAAACGGCCAGAUCCACACGAGGUGGAUGUCACACACACGGCACUCUCCCCUCGAUCCUUUCUCUUUCCUACAACUACUAUGUCUUGUACCUUGUUAUAUUGCUCUUUCAUCCAUGGGGAUAAAGAUGUUAACUCAGUUUGAUAAUGGAGUCACAGAUUUGUAUCUGAUAAUUCUUGAAAAUCAGAUUGAAACAUCCAUACUAAUUUGUUGGUUUGUCUCAACCAGUAAUUCAAUGUAAACCUAUUAACAUGAA
Molecule: long non-coding RNA, 1384 nt
Organism: Aegilops tauschii subsp. strangulata
Lineage: Eukaryota; Viridiplantae; Streptophyta; Magnoliopsida; Poales; Poaceae
Source: RefSeq, a predicted model, not a curated record